UGAGUAACGCGUGGAUAAUCUGCCCUCUACUGGGGAAUAACUAACCGAAAGGUUAGCUAAUACCGCAUGAGACCACGAUCCCUGAGGGGAAUGAGGUUAAAGAUUUAUUGGUAGAGGAUGAGUCUGCGUGGGAUUAGCUAGUUGGUGGGGUAACGGCCUACCAAGGCAACGAUCUCUAACAGGUCUGAGAGGAUGACCUGUCACACUGGAACUGAGACACGGUCCAG
This 227-nucleotide ribosomal RNA is filed under the name uncultured bacterium. Its description in RNAcentral is "partial 16S ribosomal RNA". It matches the Rfam family "Bacterial small subunit ribosomal RNA", at positions 107 to 334 of the family's 1533-position model. The record is from RNAcentral.